RNAcentral lists this long non-coding RNA (2756 nucleotides) under Cyanistes caeruleus (blue tit). RNAcentral describes it as "lncRNA (ENSCCEG00000011640.1)". Lineage: Eukaryota; Metazoa; Chordata; Aves; Passeriformes; Paridae. The record is from RNAcentral.
GGAAUGAUAUAAUUUCUUGAGAUACUAGUUAAGUUUUUAUUUCCCUUAUGUGGUACUAUACUAGAUUGCAGGGGCUGACAGCUGUAAGUGGAGCAGCUAUGCCUGUUACUCAAAUACCAAACAGUCACUGGCUGAGCCUUGUGUGCAGAAGGUUUUCUUGACAAUUGUGGGUGUCUUGAUUGGUUCCUCUGGAUGGAGCUAUCCUGUCAUGCAUUAUGUGUGCAAGCUUGAUCUUUGCCAAAUACCACUUCUGGGUGGAUAUGGCACAGCAUCUACAGCAGGAAAGAAACCUAUGGAAAUUGUUGCAACUUGCACUGAAGCUGGAUUAGACCAAGUUAUUGAAGAGAUAAAGGAGUCUGAUUCUAUCAUUACCCUGGACUUGGCUCUGGUCACUGGUACAAAUGACACCGUAAACUCAGCAGCACAGGAAGAUCCCAAUUUUGUUAUCAGUAUCAUGCCAAUACUGGAACUCUGAAAAACAAAACAAGGUAAGGGAAGCACAGUGCACAGGAUCAGAGAAGGAGCCAGACUCAGUCCGGGGUAUGUUGGUGGAGCACAUUCUCUUCUGUUCACUCUUCUGUGGUAUGUUUCUAAACAUCCUAUUGCAACAUCAGUGGUCUGAGAAGUCAGCAGUAAAAUCAUGUGGCAACCGCACAAGCAUUGCUAAAGUUAGACAAAAAUUUCCACUUUCCAUGAGGUGAAAAUACAGUCUGCUGUCUGUUUUGCAUUAGAGAACUAGUUCCCAUCUCUUACUCUGAAACUUCAGAAUUAUUUGAAUUUAUUUCUGGCAGAUAGGGUGAAGAAAUCACACCACUCUGAGUAAUUUUACUUUAAUGUGAUAUACUAUCAAAAUUUGACAGCAUCUCAUUUCUCUUCUGAAUCCAUAAAAUGGCAGUUAUGUGUUAUCUUUCCCAACAGGCCAACAGGAAGAAUGUGAUAGAUUUUUCAUAUAAACACUUCCUUUAAAUGUUGACAAUACUAAGUUUGAUCAGUCACAAUUAACAUUCUUAAUGACAGCAUUGGGAUUUUAGUAAAACGGUGACCCUCAAGUCAAGGAAUAACAGUUUAGGAACAAUGUUGAGUCCUUCAGUACUUUAGUAGGUGACCUCAUAUUCUGCUAUCAGUAGAUCAGGAGUUUAACUGCCACAUAUUUUGAUCUUGGUGGGAAAGCUUUCCUGGUGUAAUUGUGCUGCAAUCACCAUUAACUUUUGUGUCCCAGAAUACUCUGAGACACGAGUUAAUGGCACCUGGGAGUGUAUUAACUGCAUUAUAGUAAAUGAUAAGAAAUUAAUAGGAGGUUUGCCUUCCUCCCUCCUUCUCUUGGCACUUUUGAAGGUAGAGGUAUGUAGGAUGGAUUUUCAUAUCAUAUUACAUUUUAUAGAAGUAUGCUAUAACCAUCACUUAUAUAGAUUGAUCUUUAACACAUUCAGGCAAAGUACUGAAACACAGUGAGUGGGAAAGGUAAGAACAGAUCCUUGUGUUACUUUGCAGUUGGACCUGAAGACUAUGUGGAAAACCAGAUGGACUCAAAAAUUGCAAGAAGCAGUAGCAAAGGAAUUAAAUCAGGUAACAUUACAAGUGCUUUGGGAGGUUUGCUGUAGAUUCCAAGUUGGCAUCUCUUUUCAGUAUCAAUGUAUCUUUACCCCAUGCACUGACAUGACCCUUUAUUCAACCUUGGCUUGGAUGACAUUUCUGCUACCUUCCAGGAAAGGAAUUGUUUUUUGCAGUAGCUCCCUCUCUUAUUCAUUUUGAGAAAAGGAUUAAAUACUCCCUCUGACCAAGCUUACAGGCAUGCUAAAGUGAAGCCUCUUCAUGCUCCUGGCCAAACAAAGAACAAAAAUACCCACAAUAAGCAAAAGCAGAUGGCUUCAGUGGCAGGAAAUGAAUGAGCCAGACUGCAGGUAAAAUGGUUCUCUGAACACAUCGCGGAGGUUUGCACUGACAGGUUCUUUGUUAUCUGGGGCCUCCCCACAGGAGGCCAGAUGUCUUCUGUUGUGAGAGGAGAUAGAGAUGCUCUUCCUUUUCCUCCCCCUUUAACUUAUGGCUGUUUAAGUUACUGCUAAUGGAAGCAGAAGCCUGUUUUUCCCUCUUGGUCUCUGAUGUUUUUGGAAACAGAAGAGAUAGUGAAGGGGUAUUCUGAUACGAAAGAAAAGGCCCAGAACUGGCCUUUACCUCCCCAUGACCCUCAAUUUAAAGAACAGGGAGGUCAGUGCUGCUAAUUGCACUUGAAAGGAUUAACCACUUGAUUGCUUUCAUUUAGUGGAACAAAAUUUUUCUUCAGUCUCAAAGCUGGGGAAAUGUAUCAGUGGUACUGAGAUGCUUUCAGUGUGAAAUGGAUGACUUUGUUUGGCUUAUACCAAUAUCAAAAUUAAAUAGAGGAUGUAAAUAUUUUUAUAUAUAUUAGAGAAGGGGCAAUUACAUCUCCUGCUCAGACAGGACAGAUUUGCAGCAGAAGUGACAAAAACCUCCUUCCUGCCCCCAUAAAAGGUUAUCAGAGGAAUUGCAACAGACCGUAACCAAUUACAGAUAUUAGGUGUGCCUCUGUCCCUUGGUAUAACAAAUUACUCUUGCAUUACACUGAGGUUGCACUGGAAGAAAAAGAAUCUGAACUCAAUUCCUGGACACAGUGUGCCAGAUUUAAAAUCCUUUCUGUACAUUAAUUUCAUCUUAGAGUUAAAACUAAUUUUCUUUUGGAAAAGGUUCUUAAUUCCCAUUGUUCAAAUAAAGUGAGGAAUACAAAACUUAAAUUUGGAAAC